GGAUUAGAUACCCUGGUAGUCCACACCGUAAACGCUGUCUAUUAGCUGUUUGUGUAUCUGAUACGUGAGUAGCGAAGCUAACGCGCUAAAUAGACCGCCUGGGGAGUACGGCCGCAAGGUUAAAACUCAAAUGAAUUGACGGGGGCCCGCACAAGCGGUGGAGCAUGUGGUUUAAUUCGAUGCAACGCGAAGAACCUUACCUACACUUGACAUCCAGAGAACUUAGCAGAGAUGCUUUGGUGCCUUCGGGAGCUCUGAGACAGGUGCUGCAUGGCUGUCGUCAGCUCGUGCCG
Molecule: ribosomal RNA, 293 nt
Filed under: uncultured bacterium
Lineage: Bacteria
Description: partial 16S ribosomal RNA
Rfam family: Bacterial small subunit ribosomal RNA
Source: RNAcentral